UUGCAAUAGCUUUUUCGCUCAUUACCAGAUGUCGCCACGGUCGUUCUUGUUAUUCCUACGUCCCGGAUGAAACGAGGCGAAACAAAAUUGUUGCUAUUUAUACUUGCAUUCCUGUGAUUUCAAAUACCAAAUUGAACUUCGUAUCUUAUAUGCAUAGCUACUGUCAGUCAUCCCAACAAGUUGACUUAUCGCUCAGUCACUUUCCAUCCAUUACCAUUAGAUCCUCAUGCUAUCAAAAGCCUCAUGUUUGAAGCACACAUAUGGUGGUAUACAAAUGUGUGGAGAUAAGGUGUUUUCCCAUUACUGCUACCAAAAAAAUCACAAAACGUCAAAUGCCUUACUACAUCAUCACCCAUAUGAUAAUUAAGCAUCAGGAAAUUUAUCCCACCCGAGGAGUAAUGCAGUUGGUUGCUCUAAUUCCAUUAUUACGGUUUUUCAUCAUGAACAUUUCAGUGUGCUUCUUUGAAAAGAGCACGCAAAAUCCCCACGGACAUCCUUGAGCCAAUGCUGGAUUUUGUCCGUGACAGAAGAGGAACUUCCACCAACGUUCUGCUCCAUCCUUAUCUUCAAGAUCAAGACUCAUCCAGCUUCAGACCUUCAGUGCUUCUUAUGCUGGUAGUCCUGCUACAGAACGUUUCUUGCUUCACUGGCGAGUUGGAUCACUUCAGUUGCUGUGACACACCUAAAGUCACUCACCACGGGAUUAUGGCCAGGUCAUACAGAGGAGACGUCGAGAAGAUGAACUCCAAAACAUCGCCGG
Molecule: long non-coding RNA, 760 nt
Organism: Daphnia pulicaria
Lineage: Eukaryota; Metazoa; Arthropoda; Branchiopoda; Diplostraca; Daphniidae
Exons: 5
Source: RefSeq, a predicted model, not a curated record